GAAAGAUAGAGAGUAUUUGCUGCUAGCAAUUCUCAAGAAGAAAUUCAUGUUUGAGACUAUGCAAAGGUUACCUCAUAUACUAUUUGGGAGAUCCCUGCAGCAAUUUUAUGCAGAAAUGUUUUUGCUGAGAGCAACUUAGCACAAGGGAGAGCAGAGCUCAGGGUGGCGUUGUAGGGAUUUUCUUCGAAGUUCUUAAGAACUAUGCAGAAAGGUUUGGCAGCUUACAUGAUUAAUAUGAUGAAGGAUAUAACCAGAGGAAUUGGCGAAAAAGAAC
RNAcentral lists this small RNA (274 nucleotides) under Vigna angularis var. angularis. RNAcentral's name for it is "Non-protein coding transcript". Lineage: Eukaryota; Viridiplantae; Streptophyta; Magnoliopsida; Fabales; Fabaceae. The record is from RNAcentral.